This is a small nucleolar RNA of Vicia villosa (hairy vetch), 107 nucleotides long. The record is from RefSeq and is a predicted model, not a curated record. Lineage: Eukaryota; Viridiplantae; Streptophyta; Magnoliopsida; Fabales; Fabaceae.
AGACCGUGAUGCGGGCAGAGCCUCAUCAUAUCUUUAUACAUCUCCCAAGCUUCGAAAAGCGAUUCACCAUCUUUCUACCUGAAAUCGUUUAUUUGACUCCUUAGCAU